GACGAACGCUGGCGGCGCGCCUAACACAUGCAAGUCGAACGGAGCUGAGAGGAGCUUGCUUUUCUCAGCUUAGUGGCGAACGGGUGAGUAACGCGUGAGUAACCUGCCCUGGAGUGGGGGACAACAGUUGGAAACGACUGCUAAUACCGCAUAAGCCCACGGAUCCGCAUGGAUCUGCGGGAAAAGGAUUUAUUCGCUUCAGGAUGGACUCGCGUCCAAUUAGCUAGUUGGUGAGGUAACGGCCCACCAAGGCGACGAUUGGUAGCCGGACUGAGAGGUUGAACGGCCACAUUGGGACUGAGACACGGCCCAGACUCCUACGGGAGGCAGCAGUGGGGGAUAUUGCACAAUGGGGGAAACCCUGAUGCAGCGACGCCGCGUGGAGGAAGAAGGUUUUCGGAUUGUAAACUCCUGUCGUUAGGGACGAUAAUGACGGUACCUAACAAGAAAGCAACCGGCUAACUACGUGCCAGCAGCCGCGGUAAU
RNAcentral lists this ribosomal RNA (486 nucleotides) under uncultured bacterium. Its description in RNAcentral is "bacterial SSU rRNA". It matches the Rfam family "Bacterial small subunit ribosomal RNA", at positions 28 to 524 of the family's 1533-position model. The record is from RNAcentral.